This 838-nucleotide long non-coding RNA is filed under the name Strigops habroptila (Kakapo). RNAcentral's name for it is "lncRNA (ENSSHBG00005008473.1)". Lineage: Eukaryota; Metazoa; Chordata; Aves; Psittaciformes; Psittacidae. The record is from RNAcentral.
GCGUCAGCCCCGCCGCCCGCCUCGCGCCCGCGGGCCUCGCGCCCGUUGCCGUGGCGACCCCGCUGCGGGUGUAGCCCCCUUGAUGCCCCCCCCUGAGGCUGCACCAGCCCCCAGCGUGCACGUGGUAGUGGUGGUGGGCGGGGCCUGUGUCCUGCGCUACAGCCGCCCCCCUCCGCCCCCCCCCCCGCGCCGAGCCCCCCAACUGGGGGGGGGGGGAACUGGGGGGACCCCGGGGGGGGGCGGCGGGGCCGGGACCCCCCCCACGUCCGGAGGCGCGACGGGGACCUGGUCCUGCUGCUGCGGAGAGAGGGUCCUAGCGCCCCCCCGGAGCCUGUGGCCGUCACCAGCUUCGUGGGGCCUGAACCCUGUGACCUCUGGCCUGUGGCACCCCCAGUUGACAUCGACAUGGAGGUGGCCUGGCCACAGGUGAGUGACCAGCUCCUGGCCAUCAAUGGGGCCCCCACAGCCGGUAUGACCCAUGCCCAGGCCCUGGCCUGCAUCCGGGGGGGGGGGCAGCCCCCUGCGCCUGCUGCUGCGCCGGGGCCACGGGCCCCCCCCAAAUCCUCCCCCGAGGGGGGUCCUGACCCUCUGCAUCAGCAGCUCCCCCCGGGGCGAGCCGUGCUUCUGCCUCGUGGGACGCCGGGCCUCGGGGGGGGGCAACUGGGGGGGAAUGCACCCCUAAAUGCCCCCCCUUCCGUUAACACCCCCCCCGCACCCCCUUUAUCGGUGCUUGGGGGGGACCCCCCCCAUUUUUGGGGGGGGCCCCUACCCUUCAAUCUAUGCAAUGCCCUCCCCCCGCUCCCCGUUUUUGGGGGUGCUCAAUAAAGGUGAGGACCCC